UACGUAGGGUGCAAGCGUUAUCCGGAUUUACUGGGUGUAAAGGGUGCGUAGCCGGAAAUGCAAGUCAGAUGUGAAAGCCCGAAGCUCAACUUCGGGACUGCAUUUGAAACUGUAUUUCUAGAGUGCAGGAGAGGAAAGUGGAAUUCCUAGUGUAGCGGUGAAAUGCGUAGAUAUUAGGAGGAACACCAGUGGCGAAGGCGACUUUCUGGACUGUAACUGACGGUGAGGCACGAAAGCGUGGGGAGCAAACAGG
Molecule: ribosomal RNA, 253 nt
Filed under: uncultured bacterium
Lineage: Bacteria
Description: partial 16S ribosomal RNA
Rfam family: Bacterial small subunit ribosomal RNA
Source: RNAcentral